UACGGAGGGAGCUAGCGUUGUUCGGAAUUACUGGGCGUAAAGCGCACGUAGGCGGCUUUGUAAGUUAGAGGUGAAAGCCCGGGGCUCAACUCCGGAAUUGCCUUUAAGACUGCAUCGCUUGAACACGGGAGAGGUGAGUGGAAUUCCGAGUGUAGAGGUGAAAUUCGUAGAUAUUGGGAAGAACACCGGUGGCGAAGGCGGGUCUCUGGGCCGAUACUGACGCUGAGGAGCGAAAGCGUGGGGAGCGAACAGG
RNAcentral lists this ribosomal RNA (253 nucleotides) under uncultured bacterium. RNAcentral's name for it is "partial 16S ribosomal RNA". It matches the Rfam family "Bacterial small subunit ribosomal RNA", at positions 524 to 776 of the family's 1533-position model. The record is from RNAcentral.